GACGAACGCUGGCGGCGUGCUUAACACAUGCAAGUCGAACGGAAAGGCCCUGCUUUUGUGGGGUGCUCGAGUGGCGAACGGGUGAGUAACACGUGAGUAACCUGCCCUUGACUUUGGGAUAACUUCAGGAAACUGGGGCUAAUACCGGAUAGGAGCUCCUGCUGCAUGGUGGGGGUUGGAAAGUUUCGGCGGUUGGGGAUGGACUCGCGGCUUAUCAGCUUGUUGGUGGGGUAGUGGCUUACCAAGGCUUUGACGGGUAGCCGGCCUGAGGGGGUGACCGGCCACAUUGGGACUGAGAUACGGCCCAGACUCCUACGGGAGGCAGCAGUGGGGAAUAUUGCACAAUGGGCGGAAGCCUGAUGCGGCAACGCCGCGUGCGGGAUGACGGCCUUCGGGUUGUAAACCGCUUUCGCCUGUGACGAAGCGUGAGUGACGGUAAUGGGUAAAGAAGCACCGGCUAACUACGUG
Molecule: ribosomal RNA, 468 nt
Filed under: uncultured bacterium
Lineage: Bacteria
Description: partial 16S ribosomal RNA
Rfam family: Bacterial small subunit ribosomal RNA
Source: RNAcentral